Molecule: ribosomal RNA, 1020 nt
Filed under: uncultured bacterium
Lineage: Bacteria
Description: bacterial SSU rRNA
Rfam family: Bacterial small subunit ribosomal RNA
Source: RNAcentral
GGGGCUUGAGCGUGCAGCUUGCAUGCCUGCAGGUCGACGAUUAGAGUUUGAUCCUGGCUCAGGACGAACGCUGGCGGCGGGCUUAACACAUGCAAGUCAGAGGGGAUUAGUUCAGCAAUGAAUUGGUUCACUGGCGCACGGGUGCGUAACACGUAGGAAACCUGCCCUGAAGUGGGGGAUAACGUUCCGAAAGGAACGCUAAUACCGCAUAGGACAGUUGGGGCGCAUGCCACCGGCUGUUAAAGUAGUAAUACGCUUUGGGAUGGUCCUGCGUCCGAUUAGGUAGUUGGCGGGGUAGAAGCCCACCAAGCCGGUGAUCGGUAGCUGGUCUGAGAGGAUGAUCAGCCACACGGGGACUGAGACACGGCCCCGACUCCUACGGGAGGCAGCAGUGAGGAAUCUUGCGCAAUGGCCGAAAGGCUGACGCAGCCACGCCGCGUGCUGGAAGAAGGUUCUAUGAAUUGUAAACAGCUUUUACCUGGGAAGAAUGGCAGGGUUUCGACCUUGCAGAGACGGUACCGGGAGAAUAAGCACCGGCUAACUCCGUGCCAGCAGCCGCGGUAAUACGGAGGGUGCAAGCGUUGUCCGGACUUAUUGGGUGUAAAGGGUGCGCAGGCGGGUUAUUAAGUCUGGGGUGAAAGGCCGCCGCUCAACGGUGGGAAUGCCUUGGAUACUGGUAAUCUGGAGUGUAGGGGAGGUCGACGGAAUUGGCGGUGUAGCGGUGAAAUGCAUAGAUAUCGCCAAGAACACCAGUGGUGAAGACGGUCGGCUGGCCUAUAACUGACGCUCAGGCACGAAAGUGUGGGGGAUCAAACAGGAUUAGAUACCCUGGUAGUCCACACUGUAAACGAUGUAUGCUAGGUGUUGGGCGUGUCUUAGGGCAUGUUCAGUGCUGGAGUUAACGCGAUAAGCAUACCACCUGGGGAGUACGCCGGCAACGGUGAAACUCAAAGGAAUUGACGGAAUCUCUAGAGGAUCCCCGGGUACCGAGCUCGAAUUCGUAAUCAUGGUCAUAGCUGU